This 364-nucleotide ribosomal RNA is filed under the name uncultured bacterium. RNAcentral's name for it is "bacterial SSU rRNA". It matches the Rfam family "Bacterial small subunit ribosomal RNA", at positions 1 to 334 of the family's 1533-position model. The record is from RNAcentral.
UGCGCCUUGCCAGCCCGCUCAGUCAGAGUUUGAGUCCUGGCGUCAGAUUGAACGCUGCGGCAAGCCUAACACAUGCAAGUCGAGCGGCAGCGAAAGAAAGCUUGCUUUCUUGUCGGCGAGCGGCAAACGGGGUGAGUAAUAUCUGGGGAUCUGCCCAAAAGAGGGGGAUAACUACUAGAAAUGGUAGCUAAAUAACCGCGAUAAAGUUGAAAAAACCAAAAGUGGGGGACCUUUUAUAGGCCUCAUGCUUUUGGAUGAACCCAGACGAGAUUAGCUUGUUGGUAAGGUAAAAGCUUACCAAGGCAACGAUCUCUAGCUGGUCUGAGAGGAUAACCAGCCACACUGGAACUGAGACACGGUCCAG